CCCAGGGUGAAGCCACUCUGGGCUCAUAUAAGGGCAGCCACUGAAGGGAGAGCAACUCUUGGGCCUGGGCUGCUUUUUGAGGAGGAGUGCUGUAUGGCAGAGAGCCCCUUCACCAAAAGGGGAUCAACCUUCCUACUCACAGGCUUCCAUGGCCAUGCAAAAAUCUUUUUUGAAGCUCCUCUUUGAGUUCCCUGUGGCAAGAAACAGAGCAUUUUCUCGUCUUACUGAAGCAGAAAUAUUAUGUUAUCCCUAAAAUCAUCAGCUGCAGACUUAUGUAACAAUAGAACCUGUUUUCCAGGAACAAUAUUAAUUGCAGUCUAUUAUAAGCCAUGGAAAACAUUUUUCAGUGUUAUGAGUCAUGCUUCUUCUCGUCAGGCUAAGUGCUGUGAACUGUAUUUCCUGAAAACAGUACCUUUACUCAGUGCAGGGGCUGUGUUAGCAUUGACACCUGAUGACUUUCCAAGGUUUUAUUCUGAAAUAGAAUGGGCACUUGUGGAAGGACUGCAAUGGUAUCACCUUUAUUUGGACUUCUGCAGUGGACAUCUGAUGCUGUCAUAGCAACGGAUCCCUGAGUUGUUAGAAUUUGAAGCCACAGCAUCUGAAUUCCCUGUUGUGAUGGGAAACAGCUGUAUCGAUGGCCUGCAUUCACCAUAAUUUCUGCCACUCCAGAUGCCUGCAGCACAGCCUACAUUUCUGUCAUCAGGGCUGUAUUUCCCUUGGGUUUUACAUGGAGCCUUGUGCUUCUCUAGUUCUUCCUCUCUCCUGACCCAAAAUUUUGUCAACAUAAGAUUUUCAGAAGCUAGAGCUUCAUGUACAUCUGUAUUUACAUACCCAGAUACCAAAGCUGUCCUUGAAGUCUGAUAUUUCAAUAGUUGUGUCUUGCUCUUGCUAUUAUUUGUUUACAAAGUAUUAUCACUGGAUAUAUAAAUGUACAACAAAACACAGAAAUAUUUAUAUGUAUAUAUUGCACCCCCAGUCACAAACAAGAGACAGUAAAAUAUGCUUUUUACCAGACAGAUAGUGAUGUUAUUCCUGGGCUUAGCAGAGGUUUGGCAUAAGAGAUUAAAACAUCAUAACUUCUAAGUAGAGAAGUAAAGUUUUACAGAGGAGAUAUUAAGAAUUCAU
Molecule: long non-coding RNA, 1125 nt
Filed under: Gallus gallus (chicken)
Lineage: Eukaryota; Metazoa; Chordata; Aves; Galliformes; Phasianidae
Description: lncRNA (ENSGALG00010002256.1)
Source: RNAcentral